Molecule: ribosomal RNA, 429 nt
Filed under: Gemmatimonadota bacterium
Lineage: Bacteria; Pseudomonadati; Gemmatimonadota
Description: Gemmatimonadetes bacterium partial 16S ribosomal RNA
Rfam family: Bacterial small subunit ribosomal RNA
Source: RNAcentral
UAGGGAAUCUUCGGCAAUGGACGAAAGUCUGACCGAGCAACGCCGCGUGAGUGAAGAAGGUUUUCGGAUCGUAAAACUCUGUUGUUAGAGAAGAACAAGGACGUUAGUAACUGAACGUCCCCUGACGGUAUCUAACCAGAAAGCCACGGCUAACUACGUGCCAGCAGCCGCGGUAAUACGUAGGUGGCAAGCGUUGUCCGGAUUUAUUGGGCGUAAAGCGAGCGCAGGCGGUUUCUUAAGUCUGAUGUGAAAGCCCCCGGCUCAACCGGGGAGGGUCAUUGGAAACUGGGAGACUUGAGUGCAGAAGAGGAGAGUGGAAUUCCAUGUGUAGCGGUGAAAUGCGUAGAUAUGUGGGGGAACACCAGUGGCGAAGGCGGCUCUCUGGUCUGUAACUGACGCUGAGGCUCGAAAGCGUGGGGAGCAAACAGG